This 439-nucleotide ribosomal RNA is filed under the name uncultured bacterium. RNAcentral describes it as "partial 16S ribosomal RNA". It matches the Rfam family "Bacterial small subunit ribosomal RNA", at positions 339 to 795 of the family's 1533-position model. The record is from RNAcentral.
CUACGGGCUGCACCAGUGAGGAAUAUUGCACAAUGGGGGGAACCCUGAUGCAGCAACGCCGCGUGGAGGAUGACGCAUUUCGGUGUGUAAACUCCUUUUAUAUGUCAAGAAAAUGACGGUAGCAUAUGAAUAAGCACCGGCUAACUCCGUGCCAGCAGCCGCGGUAAUACGGAGGGUGCAAGCGUUACUCGGAAUCACUGGGCGGAAAGGACGCGUAGGCGGGUUGGAAAGUCAGGUGUGAAAUCCUACAGCUUAACUGUAGAGCUGCAGUUGAAACUUCUAAUCUAGAGUAUGGGAGGGGGAGAUGGAAUUAGUGGUGUAGGGGUAAAAUCCGUAGAUAUCACUAGGAAUACCUAAAGCGAAGGCGAUCUCCUGGAACAUUACUGACGCUAAGGCGUGAAAGCGUGGGGAGCAAACAGGAUUAGAUACCCGGGUAGUC